UCAACAGCACCUGUUGCUACUCCUCUUCAGGAUACCAUUGGCCACAGAAAGAAAGAGGUGGGAGACAGGAAACAAGAUGGCAUUCUUUUCCUUCAGCUUCUGUCUCUCCUCUGUGGACAGCAAGAAAACUCUACUACACAAGUGAAGAUGGAAACCGGUAGAAGUAAUAAAAUGGAGGCUGCAUACAUCUUGUCACAUUUUAUGUGACACUCAUUAAAAAUAAAAUAGAAAUAUAAAGAAAAGGCUUACAAAAUGCCACAGCAGUGUGGAGUGGUUGAUAUGAAUGAUGAAUCUCAGCUCUCCUGUCUUCCAUUUUGGGCUGAAGCAUCUGGGUCAUGGCAAGCAAGAGGCAUCAUCAGAGUUCAAAGACGCAUUCCAGCCAGGCAAAGCCACUCAAGGAUCAAAAGGGGUCGUGGCUGGGAAGGGGCCCUGGCCUGGAGAGAGUCCAGGCGGCUAAAUAAGCUGCUCUGACCUUUGUGCUUUCCCCCUCAAAGUGGACAGUGACUGUUGUGAUUGGACCUCCCAUUUUUCUGCACAUCUAGCAGUCACUAUCUUUCUGUCUGUCUGCCGCCAGCUCCUCACUCUGCAGAUAGGAACAGGCUUGAUUCGAUGGCUUGGGUCGCCACCAGGGAUGGAUAACAGUUAGUUUCAGUCCCAGAGAUGUUUCCAAGUACACCCUUUUACUCUCUCCUCUCAGUGUAACACCCACUGUUCAAAAUAAAAGUAAAGCAGGGGUUCAGGGACAAUGGCAAAAGUCCCUUUCUGCCACUGCAACUGGGUGUCCCUGCCCUUCUUCACCAUGCCCCUGCUGCAGGGUUGUGCAAUGCACUUCUGUGUGCAGAUGAGCAUAGUGUCAGGCCCUUAGGCUGAUGGAGGGCAGGUACCUCAGAAGUAGGGGAGCUGAAGUCAGGCUGUUGCAGGGUGGAAACUGAUGGGCUGAAAAUGUGAAGGACCGAGUAGUCUCCACCACAAACAAUGGUUUACUCAGACCUACAGAGUAAUCCUUUCUUUCUUUCUUUCUUUCUUUCUUUCUUUCUUUCUUUCUUUCUUUCUUUCUUUCUUUCUUUCUUUCUUUCUUUCUCAUUGCAUUUAUAUCCCACCUUUCUUCCAAGGAUCUGACAAAGGCUUCAGUGGUUCUCCUCCCUCUCCCUUUUGUCCUCACAACAACCCUGUGAGGUAGGUUAGGCUGAGAGACUGUCAUGGGCCCAAGGUCACCCAGCAAGCUUCAUGGCUGAGAGUUACCUAACUUCCCAGUCCAGGAGGAUCAUGGGCUACUGUGAAAAGCUCCCGUCUGAAAAGGCCUGUAUGUAGUUCCUUCCCCUUACCUGCAUCCAAGGUGUCUAGGGCCUGUUCCCACCAGGCUCCUAGUUCAAACGUAAAGAUGAGCGAAUCUGUCUGUUUUGAUUUCUCUCCGUUUUUCAUUUUUCCAGUCUCGUUCAGUUCUCCACAUUCCCACAUCAGUCUGGAAUUUUAAAAAAGCCCUCACAAAAAUUCAUCAGCAUUUUCUCCUAGUGUACAUAUGUUUAGAUGCAAUUUUGCCUAGUAUGAUCAUUUUUGCAAAGCAAUUUUCCCUCCUGUAAUGCAUUUUUGUAUGUUAUUUCAACAAUAUUUCCGUUUGUAUCCCAGUACAUGCAUUUAUGUGGACAUUCCUCGGCUGGAAAACUGCACUGCAAAAUUCAGAGAAGUGCACAUUUCAAAGGAUGGCUGUAUUUCAGUUUGCAUAUUGUUUUGGGAAGUGUGAAUUACAUAGAUUCCCCUUUAAAGGAGACCUGAUUGAAUUUCUCCCCAUCCUUGCUCAAGCCCCACAGAGUCUGACACACACAGGUCCUUGUAGUACAAAAACCCUACAAACACAGGCCAUGUUGACAGAUAUCUUGCUAGUACCUUUAUGAGGUGACUUUACCAGCAGAUUAUUUAAUGCGUGUAUCACCCUGUGAUAAAUUUACAAAGCGACCCAUGUCCACAUGUUUGAUAUUGUUCUGCUAGUGCUUGUGAAUCUUAGGAGAGCUCCAGGUAACGGUUCCAUUAACGGAUCGUAUUUUCUUUGUGUCCCCUUUCGCAUUCCAUCACAGUUCACAAAUUAAAAGGCUAUACAAUGAAA
Rhineura floridana is the source of this 2101-nucleotide long non-coding RNA. RefSeq lists it as uncharacterized. The transcript is spliced from 4 exons. The record is from RefSeq and is a predicted model, not a curated record. NCBI's taxonomy places the organism in Eukaryota, Metazoa, Chordata, Lepidosauria, Squamata, Rhineuridae.